GAUGAAGAACGUAGCAAAAUGCGAUAAGUAAUGUGAAUUGCAGAAUUCAGUGAAUCAUCGAAUCUUUGAACGCACAUUGCGCCCGCUGGUAUUCCGGCGGGCAUGCCUGUUCGAGCGUCAUUUCAACCCUCAAGCCCCCGGGUUUGGUGUUGGGGAUCGGCUCUGCCUUCUGGCGGUGCCGCCCCCGAAAUACAUUGGCGGUCUCGCCGCAGCCUCCAUUGCGUAGUAGCUAACACCUCGCAACUGGAACGCGGCGCGGCCAUGCCGUAAAACCCCAACUUCUGAAUGUUGACCUCGGAUCAGGUAGGAAUACCCGCUGAACUUAAGCAUAUCAAUAAGCGGAGGA
This 346-nucleotide unclassified non-coding RNA is filed under the name soil metagenome. RNAcentral describes it as "partial contains 5.8S ribosomal RNA, internal transcribed spacer 2, and large subunit ribosomal RNA". The stretch from base 1 to 120 matches the Rfam family "5.8S ribosomal RNA", at positions 35 to 154 of the family's 154-position model. The record is from RNAcentral.